This 464-nucleotide ribosomal RNA is filed under the name Vreelandella stevensii. RNAcentral describes it as "partial 16S ribosomal RNA". It matches the Rfam family "Bacterial small subunit ribosomal RNA", at positions 338 to 795 of the family's 1533-position model. The record is from RNAcentral. Lineage: Bacteria; Pseudomonadati; Pseudomonadota; Gammaproteobacteria; Oceanospirillales; Halomonadaceae.
CCUACGGGAGGCUGCAGUGGGGAAUAUUGGACAAUGGGGCAACCCUGAUCCAGCCAUGCCGCGUGUGUGAAGAAGGCCCUCGGGUUGUAAAGCACUUUCAGUGAGGAAGAACGCCUGGUGGUUAAUACCCAUCAGGAAAGACAUCACUCACAGAAGAAGCACCGGCUAACUCCGUGCCAGCAGCCGCGGUAAUACGGAGGGUGCGAGCGUUAAUCGGAAUUACUGGGCGUAAAGCGCGCGUAGGUGGCUUGAUAAGCCGGUUGUGAAAGCCCCGGGCUCAACCUGGGAACGGCAUCCGGAACUGUCAAGCUAGAGUGCAGGAGAGGAAGGUAGAAUUCCCGGUGUAGUGGUGAAAUGCGUAGAGAUCGGGAGGAAUACCAGUGGCGAAGGCGGCCUUCUGGACUGACACUGACACUGAGGUGCGAAAGCGUGGGUAGCAAACAGGAUUAGAUACCCCUGUAGUC